RNAcentral lists this ribosomal RNA (301 nucleotides) under uncultured bacterium. RNAcentral describes it as "partial 16S ribosomal RNA". It matches the Rfam family "Bacterial small subunit ribosomal RNA", at positions 509 to 808 of the family's 1533-position model. The record is from RNAcentral.
CAGUCGCCGCGGUAAUACGAAGGGUGCAAGCGUUAAUCGGAAUUACUGGGCGUAAAGCGUGCGUAGGCGGUUUGUUAAGUCUGUUGUGAAAUCCCCGGGCUCAACCUGGGAAUGGCAAUGGAUACUGGCAAGCUAGAGUGUGUCAGAGGAUGGUGGAAUUCCCGGUGUAGCGGUGAAAUGCGUAGAGAUCGGGAGGAACAUCAGUGGCGAAGGCGGCCAUCUGGGACAACACUGACGCUGAGGCACGAAAGCGUGGGGAGCAAAUAGGAUUAGAUACCCCAGUAGUCCCUGUCUCUAUACA